RNAcentral lists this ribosomal RNA (490 nucleotides) under uncultured bacterium. Its description in RNAcentral is "partial 16S ribosomal RNA". It matches the Rfam family "Bacterial small subunit ribosomal RNA", at positions 28 to 507 of the family's 1533-position model. The record is from RNAcentral.
GAUGAACGCUAGCUACAGGCUUAACACAUGCAAGUCGCGGGGCAGCAUGGGGGUUGCUUGCAAUCCCCGAUGGCGACCGGCGCACGGGUGAGUAACGCGUAUCCAACCUGCCCUUCACCACGGGAUAACCCGGCGAAAGUCGGACUAAUACCGUAUGUUGUCCAUUGACGGCAUCCGAUUUGGACGAAAGGUUUGGCGGUGAAGGAUGGGGAUGCGUCCGAUUAGCUGGACGGCGGGGUGACGGCCCACCGUGGCGACGAUCGGUAGGGGUUCUGAGGGGAAGGUCCCCCACACUGGAACUGAGACACGGUCCAGACUCCUACGGGAGGCAGCAGUGAGGAAUAGUGGUCAAUGGGCGUAAGCCUGAACCAGCCAAGUAGCGUGCAGGAUGACGGCCCUAUGGGUUGUAAACUGCUUUUAUGCGGGGAUAAAGUGGCCCACGUGUGGGUUUUUGCAGGUACCGCAUGAAUAAGGACCGGCUAAUUCCGUG